RNAcentral lists this ribosomal RNA (236 nucleotides) under uncultured bacterium. RNAcentral's name for it is "partial 16S ribosomal RNA". It matches the Rfam family "Bacterial small subunit ribosomal RNA", at positions 541 to 776 of the family's 1533-position model. The record is from RNAcentral.
UUGUUCGGAAUCACUGGGCUUAAAGGGCGCGUAGGCGGGUGUUCAAGUCCGGGGUGAAAUCCUCCAGCUCAACUGGAGAACUGCCUCGGAUACUGGGUGCCUCGAGUGUGGUAGGGGUGUGCGGAACUAUCGGUGGAGCGGUGAAAUGCGUUGAUAUCGAUAGGAACUCCGGUGGCGAAGGCGGCACACUGGACCACAACUGACGCUGAGGCGCGAAAGCCAGGGGAGCAAACGGG